Molecule: ribosomal RNA, 461 nt
Filed under: uncultured bacterium
Lineage: Bacteria
Description: partial 16S ribosomal RNA
Rfam family: Bacterial small subunit ribosomal RNA
Source: RNAcentral
CCUACGGGUGGCAGCAGUGAGGAAUAUUGGUCAAUGGGCGCGAGCCUGAACCAGCCAAGUCGCGUGAGGGAUGACGGUCCUACGGAUUGUAAACCUCUUUUGCCGGGGAGCAAGCGUGCGUUCGUGAACGCACGUCGAGAGUACCCGGAGAAAAAGCAUCGGCUAACUCCGUGCCAGCAGCCGCGGUAAUACGGAGGAUGCGAGCGUUAUCCGGAUUUACUGGGCGUAAAGCGCUCGUAGGCGGUAUGUCAAGUCAAGGGUGAAAUCCCCGCGCUCAACGUGGGCACUGCCUUUGAAACUGGCAAACUGGAGUGUGUGAGAGGAUAGUGGAAUUCCAGGUGUAGGAGUGAAAUCCGUAGAUAUCUGGAGGAACAUCAGUGGCGAAGGCGACUAUCUGGCACAUAACUGACGCUGAGGAGCGAAAGCGUGGGUAGCAAACAGGAUUAGAUACCCGAGUAGUC